UUGGGAAUCUUGCACAAUGGGGGAAACCCUGAUGCAGCGACGCCGCGUGGAGGACGAAGGGUCUAGGCUCGUAAACUCCUUUUUUUGGGAAAGACUUAGGACGGUACCCAAAGAAUAAGCACCGGCUAACUACGUGCCAGCAGCCGCGGUAAGACGUAGGGUGCAAGCGUUGUCCGGAUUUACUGGGCGUAAAGAGCGCGUAGGCGGUCCAUUAAGUGUGAAGCUAAAUCUCUUGGCUUAACCAAGAAACUAUUUCGCAUACUGAUGGGCUGGAGUGAUGCAGAGGUGGAUAGAAUUCCCGGUGUAGCGGUGAAAUGCGUUGAUAUCGGGAGGAAUACCCGUGGCGAAGGCGGUCCACUGGGCAUCAACUGACGCUGAGGCGCGAAAGCGUGGGUAGCAAACAG
RNAcentral lists this ribosomal RNA (404 nucleotides) under uncultured bacterium. RNAcentral's name for it is "bacterial SSU rRNA". It matches the Rfam family "Bacterial small subunit ribosomal RNA", at positions 355 to 775 of the family's 1533-position model. The record is from RNAcentral.